This 69-nucleotide transfer RNA is filed under the name Camelus bactrianus (Bactrian camel). It matches the Rfam family "tRNA". Rfam says of the family: Transfer RNA (tRNA) molecules are approximately 80 nucleotides in length. Their secondary structure includes four short double-helical elements and three loops (D, anti-codon, and T loops). Lineage: Eukaryota; Metazoa; Chordata; Mammalia; Artiodactyla; Camelidae. The record is from Rfam by way of RNAcentral. RNAcentral also lists the same sequence under 2 other names.
GGCACAACUCAGGGGUAGAGCACGUGCUUAGCAAGCACAAGGUCCUGGGUUCAAUCCCCAGUACUGCCA